Molecule: unclassified non-coding RNA, 345 nt
Filed under: soil metagenome
Description: partial contains 5.8S ribosomal RNA, internal transcribed spacer 2, and large subunit ribosomal RNA
Rfam family: 5.8S ribosomal RNA (bases 1-120)
Source: RNAcentral
GAUGAAGAACGCAGCGAAAUGCGAUAACUAAUGUGAAUUGCAGAAUUCAGUGAAUCAUCGAGUCUUUGAACGCACAUUGCGCCCUCUGGUAUUCCGGAGGGCAUGCCUGUCCGAGCGUCAUUGCUGCCCUCCAGCCCGGCUGGUGUGUUGGGCCCCGUCCCCCUCCCGGGGGGACGGGCCCGAAAGGCAGCGGCGGCACCGCGUCCGGUCCUCGAGCGUAUGGGGCUUUGUCACCCGCUCUUGUAGGCCCGGCCGGCGCCAGCCGACCCCCUCAAUCUAUUUUUCAGGUUGACCUCGGAUCAGGUAGGGAUACCCGCUGAACUUAAGCAUAUCAUAAGCGGAGGA